GAGGGUAUAGCUCAGUGGAAGAGUGAGUGUUUAGCUUGCACGAGGUCCUGGGUUCAAUCCCCAGUAGCUCCA
This 72-nucleotide transfer RNA is filed under the name Camelus bactrianus (Bactrian camel). It matches the Rfam family "tRNA". From Rfam's summary of the family: Transfer RNA (tRNA) molecules are approximately 80 nucleotides in length. Their secondary structure includes four short double-helical elements and three loops (D, anti-codon, and T loops). RNAcentral also lists the same sequence under 1 other name. The record is from Rfam by way of RNAcentral. Lineage: Eukaryota; Metazoa; Chordata; Mammalia; Artiodactyla; Camelidae.